GGAGCUUAUAGCUCAGUGGUGGAGCAUCUGCUCGGCAUGUAGGAGUUCCCAGGUUCAAUCCCCGGCAUCGCCA
Molecule: transfer RNA, 73 nt
Filed under: Sphaerodactylus townsendi
Lineage: Eukaryota; Metazoa; Chordata; Lepidosauria; Squamata; Sphaerodactylidae
Description: tRNA-Ala
Source: RNAcentral